This 301-nucleotide ribosomal RNA is filed under the name uncultured bacterium. RNAcentral describes it as "partial 16S ribosomal RNA". It matches the Rfam family "Bacterial small subunit ribosomal RNA", at positions 509 to 807 of the family's 1533-position model. The record is from RNAcentral.
CAGUCGCCGCGGUAAUACGUAGGGUGCAAGCGUUUAUCGGAAUUACUGGGCGUAAAGCGUGCGCAGGCGGUUAUAUAAGACAGAUGUGAAAUCCCCGGGCUCAACCUGGGAACUGCAUUUGUGACUGUAUAGCUAGAGUACGGCAGAGGGGGAUGGAAUUCCGCGUGUAGCAGUGAAAUGCGUAGAUAUGCGGAGGAACACCGAUGGCGAAGGCAAUCCCCUGGGCCUGUACUGACGCUCAUGCACGAAAGCGUGGGGAGCAAACAGGAUUAGAUACCCGCGUAGUCCCUGUCUCUUAUAC